This 250-nucleotide ribosomal RNA is filed under the name uncultured archaeon. RNAcentral's name for it is "partial 16S ribosomal RNA". It matches the Rfam family "Archaeal small subunit ribosomal RNA", at positions 474 to 723 of the family's 1478-position model. The record is from RNAcentral.
UACGGGCAGUUCAAGUGGUAUCCGUGUAUAUUGGGCUUAAAGCGUCCGUAGCUCGUUCGGAAAGUCUUUGGUGAAAGCCCGCGGCUCAACCGCGGGAAGUGCCAGGGAAACUUCCGGACUCGGAGGCGGGAGAGGUCAGGGGUACUUAUAGGGUAGCGGUAAAAUGUGUUAAUCCCGUAAGGACCACCGGUAGCGAAGGCGCCUGACUAGAACGCGCUCGACAGUGAGGGACGAAGGCCAGGGGAGCAAC